RNAcentral lists this ribosomal RNA (292 nucleotides) under uncultured bacterium. RNAcentral's name for it is "partial 16S ribosomal RNA". It matches the Rfam family "Bacterial small subunit ribosomal RNA", at positions 505 to 796 of the family's 1533-position model. The record is from RNAcentral.
GUGUCAGCCGCCGCGGUAAUACGAAGGGGGCGAGCGUUGUUCGGAUUUACUGGGCGUAAAGGGCGCGCAGGCGGCUUUGUUUGUCAGGCGUGAAAGCCCCGGGCUUAACCUGGGAACUGCGUUUGAUACGGCAGGGCUAGAGUUCGGGAGAGGAGAGUGGAAUUCCCAGUGUAGAGGUGAAAUUCGUAGAUAUUGGGAAGAACACCGGUGGCGAAGGCGGCUCUCUGGACCGAUACUGACGCUGAGGCGCGAAAGCGUGGGGAGCAAACAGGAUUAGAUACCCCCGUAGUCC